CCUACGGGUGGCAGCAGUGAGGAAUAUUGGUCAAUGGGCGUAAGCCUGAACCAGCCAAGCCGCGUGAGGGAAGAAGGCUCUAUGGAUUGUAAACUUCUUUUGUAAGGGAGUAAAGUAUGGGACGUGUCUUGUUUUGAACGUACCUUACGUAUAUGGAUCGGCUAACUCCGUGCCAGCAGCCGCGGUAAUACGGAGGAUUCAAGCGUUAUCCGGAUUUAUUGGGUUUAAAGGGUGCGUAGGCGGCCGUAUAAGUUAGCGGUGAAAGGCUGUGGCUCAACCACAGAAUUGCCUUUGAAACUGGUGGGCUUGAGUGUAUUAGAGGCAAGCGGAAUGCCUGGUGUAGCGGUGAAAUGCGUAGAUAUCAGGCAGAACACCGGUGGCGAAGGCAGCUUACCAAGCUAUGACUGACGCUGAGGCACGAAAGCGUGGGGAGCAAACAGGAUUAGAUACCCUUGUAGUC
Molecule: ribosomal RNA, 460 nt
Filed under: uncultured bacterium
Lineage: Bacteria
Description: partial 16S ribosomal RNA
Rfam family: Bacterial small subunit ribosomal RNA
Source: RNAcentral